Molecule: ribosomal RNA, 419 nt
Filed under: Trogoderma sternale plagifer
Lineage: Eukaryota; Metazoa; Arthropoda; Insecta; Coleoptera; Dermestidae
Description: partial 16S ribosomal RNA
Source: RNAcentral
UUUAUUUAAGGUCUGGCCUGCUCACUGAAGUUUUAAGAGCCGCAGUAUUUUGACUGUGCGAAGGUAGCAUAAUAAUUAGUUCUUUUAUUGGGAGCUGGAAUGAAUGGUUGGACGAGAAAAUAACUGUCUCUUUUUAAUUUAAAUGAAUUUUAUUUUUAAGUAAAAAAGCUUAAAUUUUUUUAAAAGACGAGAAGACCCUAUAGAGUUUUAUUUUCUUUUUUUAUGUUUAUUUUAGGUAUUUUAUGUUUCAUGAAUUUGGAAAAUUUGGUUGGGGUGAUUGAAAAAUUGGUUUAACUUUUUUUUUAUUUAAACAAGUUUUAUUGAAUAUUUGAUCCAUUUUUUGUGAUUAUAAGAUUAAAUUACCUUAGGGAUAACAGCGUAAUCCUUUUUGAGAGUUCUUAUCGAAAAAAGGGGUUGCG